Molecule: small nuclear RNA, 107 nt
Organism: Dromiciops gliroides (monito del monte)
Lineage: Eukaryota; Metazoa; Chordata; Mammalia; Microbiotheria; Microbiotheriidae
Source: RefSeq, a predicted model, not a curated record
CUUUUCACUUCAGCAAAACAUAUGCUCAGAGUGAAACAAUACAGAAAAGAAUCACAUGGCCCCAACCCAAGGAUGAUGUGCAAAUUCACAAAACUUUCCAGAUUUUA